UCGUGAUCGACCCUUCUGCGUUCAUCGAGAGUGCAUAAAGGUCAUCGGUUGUCAGAGGAAAGCGGAAUUAGGGUUUCGGGAAUUCCCCCUUCGAGCUCCCAAUUCUCCCGUUUCGUUGUGCUCCCAUCUCGACUUGGAUCGGGUUGGGUUCGAGGGUAGUCCUCGGCGCCGAUGAUCUCUGCCUCGGAUCCGCUGAGAUGAGACCGUUAGAGGACCUCCUCACCGCGGUCUCCCUUGCGGCCGCGCCGGCGGGGACGGAAGCGGAGACGGUUGUGCUUCCGGGACCCGCAGGCGGGAGCGCGUCGGUCUCCCCGUCGUGGCUCGUGGGUUGCCAUGGGCUCCUGUACAAUCUCGCAUUGAUCGUCCCCUCGGUGAUCUUUGUCGCCUACCUCGCGUCUCUGGCACGGAAGAGCUUCGCCAAGCUCACGAAUGGCUACUCUUAUGUCAUGAUUGCCUAUUACGCCCUCCUCUGGCUCAUCAGCGUUCUCAAUCUUCUAUGGUGCCUUGUCCAGGCAUGGCAAUGUUCGCCUGAGAAAGAAUUAUCUUGGAAUAUGUUGUCAUUGUUCACAGAAUCUGGGAUGUUAUUUUUAGAAGUUAGCUUGUUGGCCUUUCUACUUCAAGGAAAUCAUGCAGGUGGAUUGGACGUUUUAACACGUACAUUUGUAAUAUCAGGAGUAAUUGUUGCUGCUGAUACAUUAUUGAAGGCAAUCUAUAUAUUUGGUUUCGGGGUUCCAUUAUUUGCAGACAACAAUGAAACAGCACAUCAAGCAAGAUGGGGUUUGUGGAUUGUCCACAAGUUGUUGCUUACUGCAGUCUAUGGCUCCAUUUUUUUCAUGCACCACUCAAAGUGGAGAGAGAGAUUGCCAGCAAGACCAGCAUUCUACAAUUAUGUAUGUGUUAUGCUGUUAUUAAAUACAAUGUCCCUGUUUGGUUGUCUGCUUGCGGGAAAUGGAGCUGGAUUCGGGAUCUGGUUGUCCAAUCUUAUAACCGUAUGCUACCACUCUCUCUAUCUUCCGCUUCUCUAUGUGAUCUUCCUGGCAGAUUUUUUCCAGGAAGAAGAUUUGCGCUUAGAGAACGUGUACUACUCCGAGAUGAAAGAUGCUGGUUUCUUCGAUGACGAUUGGGAUUAGUAUGUCAGUCGGAUAGGUCUACUAUUCUCUGUCACUUUGCUCGAUGCAUGUCGUUUUUUCUGUAACAUGAUAUCAAAGAGGAACAGCUGGUGGCAAAAUUAAGGUUAAAGAAGAAAAGUGAGUUGUAUGAGCGGCCCCUCAUUCUAGUUGCACUUGGUACCACUGUAUGGAGCCAAGCUGGCCAUCGAUCUCUAGCUCGCAUACAGACCUGACGAGGUGAGAAAC
Musa acuminata subsp. malaccensis (wild Malaysian banana) is the source of this 1355-nucleotide non-coding RNA. The record is from RefSeq and is a predicted model, not a curated record. Lineage: Eukaryota; Viridiplantae; Streptophyta; Magnoliopsida; Zingiberales; Musaceae.